CCCAGACUCCUACGGGAGGCAGCAGUGGGGGAUAUUGCACAAUGGGGGGAACCCUGAUGCAGCGACGCCGCGUGGGUGAAGGAGCGUUUCGGCGCGUAAAGCCCUAUCGGCAGGGAAGAAGGAGGACGGUACCUGACUAAGAAGCCCCGGCUAACUACGUGCCAGCAGCCGCGGUAAUACGUAGGGGGCAAGCGUUAUCCGGAUUUACUGGGUGUAAAGGGGGCGCAGACGGCAGCGCAAGCCAGGAGUGAAAGCCCGGGGCCCAACCCCGGGACUGCUCUUGGAACUGCGCGGCUGGAGUGCAGGAGGGGCAGGCGGAAUUCCUGGUGUAGCGGUGAAAUGCGUAGAUAUCAGGAGGAACACCGGUGGCGAAGGCGGCCUGCUGGACUGCGACUGACGUUGAGGCCCGAAAGCGUGGGGAGCAAACAGGAUUAGAUACCCCAGUAAA
This 448-nucleotide ribosomal RNA is filed under the name uncultured bacterium. Its description in RNAcentral is "partial 16S ribosomal RNA". It matches the Rfam family "Bacterial small subunit ribosomal RNA", at positions 330 to 794 of the family's 1533-position model. The record is from RNAcentral.